UCAACGGCCCUUUUCAGGGCCACCAAAUUAAGAUCACUUAGAAUCCU
Molecule: non-coding RNA, 47 nt
Organism: Rhodnius prolixus
Lineage: Eukaryota; Metazoa; Arthropoda; Insecta; Hemiptera; Reduviidae
Source: Rfam